UGGAUCCAGACUUUGAUCAUGGCUCAGGAUGAACGCUAGCUACAGGCUUAACACAUGCAAGUCGAGGGGAAACGACAUUGAAAGCUUGCUUUUGAUGGGCGUCGACCGGCGCACGGGUGAGUAACGCGUAUCCAACCUGCCCAUCACUUGGGGAUAACCUUGCGAAAGUAAGACUAAUACCCAAUGAUAUCUCUAGAAGACAUCUGAAAGAGAUUAAAGAUUUAUCGGUGAUGGAUGGGGAUGCGUCUGAUUAGCUUGUUGGCGGGGUAACGGCCCACCAAGGCGACGAUCAGUAGGGGUUCUGAGAGGAAGGUCCCCCACAUUGGAACUGAGACACGGUCCAAACUCCUACGGGAGGCAGCAGUGAGGAAUAUUGGUCAAUGGACGAGAGUCUGAACCAGCCAAGUAGCGUGCAGGAUGACGGCCCUAUGGGUUGUAAACUGCUUUUAUAAGGGAAUAAAGUGAGUCUCGUGAGACUUUUUGCAUGUACCUUAUGAAUAAGGACCGGCUAAUUCCGUGCCAGCAGCCGCGGUAAUACGGAAGGUCCGGGCGUUAUCCGGAUUUAUUGGGUUUAAAGGGAGCGUAGGCCGGAGAUUAAGCGUGUUGUGAAAUGUAGACGCUCAACGUCU
Molecule: ribosomal RNA, 629 nt
Filed under: uncultured Bacteroidota bacterium
Lineage: Bacteria; Pseudomonadati; Bacteroidota
Description: bacterial SSU rRNA
Rfam family: Bacterial small subunit ribosomal RNA
Source: RNAcentral